AAACCAUAUCCAUGAGCAUGGGCCAGAAACACAGUGGUUGGUGGUGCUACUAAAACAAAUGUAUGCACACUUCCUAUGCAGCAGCUACUGUCUUCAAUUCUUGAAAGCUCUAGCACCAUAUCAAGUGAUAUAAUUGCCUCCAUCAGCUGUGGCCCAAUUUACUUGCUUACAUUUGGGGGAGCAUAUCAUCACAUUCCCUGUGAAGGAGGAGAAAUAGCCCUCAAAAUCAGAGGUUGGUCCUACACCAGCAUUGACCACACAGGAAGAUAUGGAGCCACCAGUG
RNAcentral lists this long non-coding RNA (283 nucleotides) under Ictidomys tridecemlineatus (thirteen-lined ground squirrel). RNAcentral's name for it is "lncRNA (ENSSTOG00000031558.1)". The record is from RNAcentral. Lineage: Eukaryota; Metazoa; Chordata; Mammalia; Rodentia; Sciuridae.